AACGAACGCUGGCGGCAUGCCUAACACAUGCAAGUCGAACGAUCCCUUCGGGGAUAGUGGCGCACGGGUGCGUAACGCGUGGGAACCUGCCCUUAGGUUCGGAAUAACUCAGAGAAAUUUGAGCUAAUACCGGAUAAUGUCUUCGGACCAAAGAUUUAUCGCCUUUGGAUGGGCCCGCGUUGGAUUAGCUAGUUGGUGGGGUAAAGGCCUACCAAGGCGACGAUCCAUAGCUGGUCUGAGAGGAUGAUCAGCCACACUGGGACUGAGACACGGCCCAGACUCCUACGGGAGGGAGCAGUGGGGAAUAUUGGACAAUGGGCGAAAGCCUGAUCCAGCAAUGCCGCGUGAGUGAUGAAGGCCUUAGGGUUGUAAAGCUCUUUUACCCGGGAUGAUAAUGACAGUACCGGGAGAAUAAGCCCCGGCUAACUCCGUG
This 433-nucleotide ribosomal RNA is filed under the name uncultured bacterium. Its description in RNAcentral is "partial 16S ribosomal RNA". It matches the Rfam family "Bacterial small subunit ribosomal RNA", at positions 29 to 507 of the family's 1533-position model. The record is from RNAcentral.